RNAcentral lists this transfer RNA (77 nucleotides) under Actinomycetota bacterium. RNAcentral describes it as "Actinobacteria bacterium tRNA-Pro". It matches the Rfam family "tRNA". From Rfam's summary of the family: Transfer RNA (tRNA) molecules are approximately 80 nucleotides in length. Their secondary structure includes four short double-helical elements and three loops (D, anti-codon, and T loops). The record is from RNAcentral. Lineage: Bacteria; Bacillati; Actinomycetota.
CGGGGAAUGGCGCAGCUUGGUAGCGCGCCUGCUUUGGGAGCAGGAGGUCGGGAGUUCGAAUCUCCCUUCCCCGACCA